Xyrichtys novacula (pearly razorfish) is the source of this 6877-nucleotide non-coding RNA. Lineage: Eukaryota; Metazoa; Chordata; Actinopteri; Labriformes; Labridae. The record is from the annotation of a GenBank genome assembly.
GGACAGGAUUUAUUCAUACAUUCAACACUAAGCUUUGGAAUAUAUUGACAGAUUCUUAUACUCUACUUUGUUUUCAGUAAAUCAAAUGUGGUACAGAUCAUUAAAUACCUGAGUCUAAAGAGCGACACACAUGAAAAUAAACAGUGACAGGAAAGUUAAACUACAAUCAAUGUUAGAAUGAAUCUAAUGCAUGCCUAGAUUUAUUUAUCAUAGAUGCUGGAAUCACAUAUUAUACAAAUGUUAGUUGCCAUGGCGCUGUUGGAGACGGCUGCCUCUCCAGUAGCUCUACAGUACCCAGUGCUUGAAUCGUUUAAACCUACUUUUUUUACCAAAGUGUACUUUUGUUUCUUUUCUUUUUUAUUGAUUUUUUAAUUUCCUUGAGGUAACCUUCCCAAAAGGAUAAAUGAAGUUUUAUUUAAUCUAAUCUGAUCUAAUCUAAUCUGAUAAAUGAGUUGUUCAAAUAUAAACCUGAAGGAGUCCUCCCAUACCACUGAAACACAAACACUUACAAACAGGAGACGAGUGACUCACACUUACACACACAGAGAGUGAUUCAAGCAAACAUGUGAAGAUCCUGGUCCUGUGUUUGUCUUCCACAUGACACGUUAAUGUGAGCAAAGCCACAGAAACUGAAAAAAGACAACUGAAACAAGACCUGUCUGAAAAACUGGGCGUGUUGAUUUGAACAAAUAACUGACUUUUUUUUUAUUGUUCGGUCAAAAGUGACAACUCUGAGGGGUCUAAAAGUAGAAAUUUACAUCGUCCACAAGUCAAAUGUUGACGGUCCUUUAUUUCUUAUAUCAAACUUGUAAAAAACAAAAAAGUUUAUAUUUUACUUCUUUUGACAAGACACUCCACAUACUUGGAACUGAGGAGACUCGGUUUUCUAAAAUGAAAUGUUGUCCCACUCUUGCCUGAUACUCCCUCUUGAUGAUUAAGGGUCUGAUGCAGCAAAUGAUCUGGGUCAGGCCAGUUCAGCACACACACUCUUUUACAUCGGGCCACAGAGCAGGAUGUUGUUUAGCAUCGUCUUGCUAAAAUAUGCAAGGUCAACCUUAAAAAAAAAAGCAUUGCCUGCAUGGGCAGCACACCAUGUUACCUCAAAAACACUUAAAUACCACGUGUUACUUGCCCAUAUUUAACCAGCCUCUUACCAUCAUGGAUUCUGGCUUUAAACUGCACUAGUAACAAGUUCAAGCUGGGUGGUCCCUCUCUUCUCUAGAGUCAAGGACACGAGAGUUGUUCUUCCAAAAAUUUUGCCAAAUUUUGAUUUGUCAGACCACAGGACAGUUUUCCACAUCGCUGCGGUCAUAUGUUAUCGUUGGAUUAGUGCACCCGAAGACAACAUAUGACCUCAGUGAAAUAUGGAGUUGAAAUAAUUUGCAAACCAUUUCAUUCAUUCCUUUUUUUAUUUUUAUCAACUUACACAGGGUCCCUUCUGUUUGGAAGUGAGGUUGAAUAAAUGUAGCAAACCACACAGGUGCAGAGUCAUCUAUAGUGAACUGAAACAAACUAUUUUAUACUAUUUAAACUGAGACAGUAAUAGUAACACCUCAGCUGCACAAUGUCCAGAUGUCUCCCAGAUAACUGCAUGCCUCUUUUUCCCCCACAAGGUGGCAGAAGAGUUCUAAUACUGCAGCUUCGGCUCUGAGAAACACCUACAACUUGAUCUUUGUAGCUGACAUGCCCGUCUGUACAUCAACUUUUUUGAUGUACAAAGAUUAAAUUUCUGAAAAGUGAUAACAUUUGAAAAACAUUUGCUCAGAGUGAUCAGUUAAAAUCUGACCAGCUGUGGACUUAUUAGACGUCAAGCUCUUUUUGACUUUGCGCCAAAAUGUGAUUUCAUCCAGAGAGUUCUUUGAAAGCAUCCCAAGACACUGACGGUUCGAGCAAAAUUCCUGAGAAAAGUUAUUCUGCCUCAAGAGAAAAAAAGGGACGAUGGUGUUUUAGUUACAGACGAGGUGGCUGUGAACAUGUUUUUUUUGUAGAAUUUUGUGUUUGUGUGUGUUUACAGAAGAAAUCUAAGGAUAAAUCUUGUCUUUGUCCUUAAGGGUGAUCUUGUGAAACUUCUCAAGUUUCCUGUUCUACUCUGUUGCUGGUGUGAUCCUGUUGCAGAACAGAGACGAACAUUUCUGGAGUCUUUUCAUUCUGUUUUCAUUUUCUCAAAGAAAAAAAGCCAAAACAAAUCACAGCAUGCACACGGAAACUUGGUGGUCAUUUCUGUUUUCAGGCUAACGGCCCUGGAUGCCUGAGUGACACGUCUCCUAAGUGCUAUUCAGUAAAUUUAAAAACAAUACGACUCAUAAACAUGUUACCAUUCAGUCUGGUUACAGUAACAGUGACCAGAGGUUGACCUCCACUGAAGCAUUAAACCAUGGUCAUUCCUAAUCCCUGACAUCAUCACGGGGACACACACACCCACACGCACACACACACACACACCAGACAAAACUGUACAGUAAACACACACUUGACCCCGCUGACACAUAAUCACAGCUGAGGAAAAAGUAAAAGCGAACAACAAUCGUUGACUCGGGUCAAAGAGGAAAGGCUACAGGGAAUAAAAGAAUGAGUGCGGAGUGAGAGGUGGUGCAAGGGUGGAGGAGCGGAGCGGUGGGAUCCAGGGCGGGUGAAGGUUAGAGUAACUAAUAUAAAACAGCUCCUCACUUUUAUGGAACUUUGAGGAGUUUCAAGAAAAAAAAACCCUUUAAUGCCUUUUGUAUCAUAUUUGACACAUGCUUUUAUAUACUUCGAUCAAAUCAAUAUGAUCAACAAAUUACUAAAAAACACCUGAAUACAGUGUGAUGAUAAAUUAUAAAAAUGUCCUCUUGUAGUUUAUCAGUUUCCAAAAUCAUCUAAUGUAUCAAACGAGAUAAAUAAACAUAUUUGUUGAAUUUUAAGGACAUUUUAAUUCUUUUGGUUUUCAGUUGUAAAUGAAAUAAACAUUUCAGCUCCAAAAAAAUAUGUAUUUUUUUGGCCAUAAUUUGUGGUUUCAGGUAUUAAAGGGUUAAACAGAGCAAAUAAAUUGGCUGGAAGGAAUCAAGUGUUAGCAUGAGAACCAAGACUUGGUUUUCCCCAGUUUUCCUUCCCUCUUAAAACAUCUCCAUUUAUGAAUAUUUGACCUCUCCUUUCUCCUUUAAUCUUCAGCUUGUUUCUCUCCUCGUCCGCUAUCCACUCCAACUCUCUCUCUGUCCAGACGAACUCAUAACAAAUGAGCGCGAUAAUUAGAACCACAAAGACUCUAAGGGGGAGGGAAGGGAGAUUUUUAGGAGUUGGGAGAGGGGGGAGUUAAAGGACAAAAGGAAUAGAGUGUGAGUAAUACAGGAGUCUGAGUGCAACUGCCCAGGCAUCUGGAGGUUCAGUCUCAUCUACACAAGCCUGACACACACACACACACACAGACGUACACACACACCACUUUAACCUGUAAAUGCUGUAAAUACAAAAAUCCCCAUCAUGGUGGAGGGAUGUGUGUUGGCAGGAUUCUGAGUCAUGAUUUGUGUCUCCAGAUUCCAGUAAAAUGCAGCUUUACCCAGGAAGAAUAGACGAUUAACAAAUGUCUGGGGAACAUUUUGACAUACAUACACAACACACACACAACACACACAGUCAUACAGGCCAAACUGAGGCUUCUCUUAUUCAAGCGUUCACACAGGCUGGCCCGGUCUUGCCUUUAAGGACAUUUACCCACAUUUUCCUGGUAGGAUUUUGGCAAGCAGGGAGAUAUGGUAAUAUGACAUUCUCUGGUAUUCCACUUUCAGUCUCCUCUCUCUUUUCACUUCCUCUUGCUUAUCUUCUCUCUGCCUUCUUGCCUCCCUCUGUUUUUGCCUCUCACUUCCAUGACGGUUGUUAAACGCUGCCAUCUCCUCUGCUCUAAUCAAACCCACAUGGUUUGGUGGGACAGCAUGCCAGCAGUACACUGCGCUGCACACACCUUUGGCUUUGUGCUCGCUGUUUGUGUGGGAUCUGCACAACAGAGUAGCUCCAAAAAACUUCUGUCUGAUAAGCUUUAAAAAAAUCUCUUGCAACUUUCUGUUUGUGACUUUGAACUAUAGGUGAUCCCCGUGUGUCAGACAGUGAAUUUAAAACUAUCCAACAGGAAAAAAAGCAAGGAUUAAAAAAAGAAACCCACUUAGUGUCAGAUUUCUUCUUUUCUUUUCCUUCUCACUUAAUCUCCUGGACCUUUAAGAUUUAUCCUCGACCCCACAGGGAGGUCCUGAACCCCCCCGCUGACACAAAAGUAAAUCACAAGAGAAAACUACUGUAAUUUGUGGCAACUAAGACUGCGUGCGUAUGUACAUCUUGCACAGUUGCUUCCUCUGAGGGUAAAGGUCAGUGAUAAUGACUUCCAGGAGUUGGGAAGGACAGGGUCAAGUUCACAUCUGGGAUUACAGGGGUUACUGGGGUGAGCGGCUUUUACUGGAGGUCAUCUGGAUGAUAAAGUGGAGAAUGCCACUGAAGUGUGACUUUACCACAGUCUGAUUACACACACUUUCACACGCACAGGCUUGAACUUGUGCAGACAAGUAGGUCCUUUUAAAAACUUGAGAUUGAAACACAACAAGGACACAAUUCAGCUUAACAUUCAAAAAGUAUCACGUGAAGUGUUAGCUUAAGUGAGCAGUUUCUGAGUUUCCCAUUCUUCAGAUAAGCUCUCUUUGGGACAAUAAAUGGUCUGUAGACAGUCUGGAUGCUACACAGAUAUGGUUCAAAUCUGUGUCAUUUGAAUGUGGAGAGGAAAUAGGAAACAAUAAGCAGCACAGACGGAAGUGAAAGAGUAGAUAUUGUCCGGUUCCCCCAGUGGGAAUGUUGAUAUAAGAUAUAAGACUGUGAUCUGAACUCCAACAAUAAAAAGAGACGGGGAGGAAAAUACUUUACCUUAUUGUACGACUGUUUUCUGAGGAAAGUAAAAUGCUUUUUUUAAAAACUAUAAAGAUGAACAUCAAUGGAUAAAUACUAACCCAAAACCUAAACGAACCAAGCGCCUGCUUGGGGCCCCGCGGCCAAUAGGGGGCCCCCAAGAGCAAUAAAAAAAAAAAAGAGUAAAUAUUUUUUGUUAUUUGCCUGUAUGAGUGAUGCUUUCUGUUUGAUCAAAUAUAUAUCACUGUAAAAAUAAAAUAAGUAAAAACAUUUUAGUGCUGCUGUUGAUGUUGAUUCUCACUGCUGACAUGUCAAAGCUCUGCGACCGUUAUGUGCCUCCUGCUGUGCAAUGUGCACUGAGCAUCCAAAGUGCAGGAAGUUGUGGGGCAAAACAAUGUCGCAAAAAAGGACAUAUCCUCCAGGAGAAAAGAAAGAGGAAGAAGAGAAAAAAACGCCAAGAUGAAGGUAUGUUUGCAUGUCAUGGAAUGUUAAAGAGAUUUGUGAAGGUGUGUAAAUGAUCAUGAAUCAAUAUUAAUGACAGAAACAGAGGGCCCCAAAAUCAAAUUUUGCUCAGGGCCCCAUUGAGGCUUGGGCAGGCUCUGAGUUUUAGCAUACAAGGCCAGUAAGUUCUUCAUCUCCCAAUAAAAUUUUCCAACUCUUUACUGUAACCCCAAAAGUGUCACAAAGGCGUGGGCUCUUGUUCAGUCUUUCUAAGUUAGAGGUGCUUGGAAAACCUUGAGAAGUGAGACGUGUCCAAGACUAAACUUUACCUGGCUCACCUGUUUCAUGUAAAACAGUGGACAAUAGUUUCUACAACCUGAUGCAGUCAGUUAAAAGUUAAAGCUCAUGACCAUAGAGUACAGAUCAACUGGCACAUUGAAAGCUAAGGUAUUUUCUUGCAGCGAUACCUUAUCACCGCUGAUGCUGCAUUAUUCCAAGUGCUGAUCUCUCAUUAUAUCCACAGUUGUGAGUAAGACCCCAUGAUACUUCAACUCCAUCGUACCAAACCUCAAGGGAACAAUCCACCAUUUGUCAGCAGAGGACGAGAGGCCUCACACUUGCAGACACUGACUCCCAUCCUGACUGUUACAUCCUGGUCUACAGCCAACUAAGUGCCAACUCAAAGUUGCAUCUUAAUACACCAAAAGAAUAUCAUCAGCACAGAGCAGGUAUUAUUAUGGGGCCCCCAUGAUGGACAGUCCCCUCAACCUCUGCUGGUUGGGACUUAAUUGGAGGAAAGAGACAGCUCUAGUGGAGGACAACACUUAAUAUGAAUGUGUUGACAGGAGGAGCAAAUCUGAGUAAAUUACCCAGCGGCUCUACCAGAGUAAAGAGUUUGUCUGCUGCUCCAAUGUCUAGAUGGAACCUGAAUUGUUCCUCCUGUAUGGGGCCCAGUCAACGUGAAAGUAAAAAGCAUUGGUGCUACUGUAGAUGCCAACAGACGACCAGCAAAUACAAUGUUUGCAGGACUUCUACAACUGGGAUUAAGUGACAUAGUCCGGGACCCAAGGUCAACAGUUUAGUGGCGCUACAACACGCAACAGGUCCUGUUUGACAAGAAACACUUCUGUUACAGACACUUGGCUUACUUUGUUAAAGCAGUUUACCUGUCCAGCAGAAAGGUUACAGAGUCUGUAAGAUCCCGAGGCCUCCGCCAUUGUUUAUGCUGAUGUUGAUCCUGCUUUUUAGCUCCUGUCCAAUCUACCUCAGUUUUAAGUGCCUGUUAUUCCGCCAGAGUCUCUGGUAUUUAUUUCGUUUUAUUGCUUGUGUUUUCCUUACUUUCUGGUUGUUUUUUUUACUGUCCGGUGUUGUAACUCGCUAACUUUGUUUGGACUCGUGAACGUUAUUUGAGGACGUGGAGCGUGCCUCACAACACGAGGGAGCAGCGCCUGCCUCACAACCGAUCCGGUUGAGGGAGGUGGAGGCGUUUUGUUUACAGUCAGAAAGAAAAAAAUGUAAAAUGUUGACUACACAGACAUAAUAAAACACUGCAAUACUGUGAUAAUCCCAAAUGUCA